Molecule: ribosomal RNA, 926 nt
Filed under: uncultured bacterium
Lineage: Bacteria
Description: bacterial SSU rRNA
Rfam family: Bacterial small subunit ribosomal RNA
Source: RNAcentral
AGAGUUUGAUCAUGGCUCAGGACGAACGCUGGCGGCGUGCCUAAUACAUGCAAGUCGAGCGAAUCUUUGGGAGCUUGCUCCCAUUGGUUAGCGGCGGACGGGUGAGUAACACGUGGGCAACCUGCCUGUAAGACUGGGAUAACUUCGGGAAACCGGAGCUAAUACCGGAUAAUCCAUUUCCUCUCAUGGGGGAAUGCUGAAAGAUGGUUUCGGCUAUCACUUACAGAUGGGCCCGCGGCGCAUUAGCUAGUUGGUGAGGUAACGGCUCACCAAGGCGACGAUGCGUAGCCGACCUGAGAGGGUGAUCGGCCACACUGGGACUGAGACACGGCCCAGACUCCUACGGGAGGCAGCAGUAGGGAAUCUUCCGCAAUGGACGAAAGUCUGACGGAGCAACGCCGCGUGAGCGAAGAAGGCUUUCGGGUCGUAAAGCUCUGUUGUUAGGGAAGAACAAGUAUCGGAGUAACUGCCGGUACCUUGACGGUACCUAACCAGAAAGCCACGGCUAACUACGUGCCAGCAGCCGCGGUAAUACGUAGGUGGCAAGCGUUGUCCGGAAUUAUUGGGCGUAAAGCGCGCGCAGGCGGUCCUUUAAGUCUGAUGUGAAAGCCCACGGCUCAACCGUGGAGGGUCAUUGGAAACUGGGGGACUUGAGUGCAGAAGAGGAAAGUGGAAUUCCACGUGUAGCGGUGAAAUGCGUAGAGAUGUGGAGGAACACCAGUGGCGAAGGCGACUUUCUGGUCUGUAACUGACGCUGAGGCGCGAAAGCGUGGGGAGCAAACAGGAUUAGAUACCCUGGUAGUCCACGCCGUAAACGAUGAGUGCUAAGUGUUAGAGGGUUUCCGCCCUUUAGUGCUGCAGCUAACGCAUUAAGCACUCCGCCUGGGGAGUACGGCCGCAAGGCUGAAACUUAAAUGAAUUGACGG